UUUCAUUUCUCCAAACGUUCCGCCGGAGCCCGGUCUCCAGUUGUGGCCACGCGCACGGGGUUCUCCCUUUUGCUUGUUUGCUCUCGUCUCCGCCUCCGAUUCUGCGAUGAUAACCCACCAUCCCUCCCUGCUCCGCCCAUCUAUCCUCACCCACCGUGCCGGCGUCCUCGGUCGGCGCCCAACACUGAACGCCUUCCUGUCCACAACCGUCGCCUCCGCUACGCCGCCUCUCCGCUUGCGGUCUCUGCGCGCCACCGCCGGUGGAACUUCGCCGGUCAGUGGCGAUGGAGGCAAACGCGCGGUGCCGCCUCCCACGCUUGGGGCCGCCCUGCUCGGCUUCGUGCGUAGCAACUUCCUCCCGCUUGCUCUCAUUGGUGGGAUCAUAUUGGGUCUCCUAGAUCCUACUCUUGGAUGCCUUGCUCACAAAUACUCCCUGUCAAAGUACGGCACUUUUGGGAUAUUUGUUAUCUCAGGACUGACCCUACGCACUAGGGAGCUUGGUGCAGCAUUAGAAGCUUGGCCUGCUGGACUAUAUGGACUAGGAUCUAUUUUGCUGUUUACACCCUUUCUUGCUCAGUUUAUUAUGCAAGUUCAGUUCUCCCCUCGUGAAUUUAUCACUGGGUUAGCUAUAUUUUGCUGCAUGCCAACAACACUAUCAAGUGGAGUCACACUAACACAGCUUGUUGGCGGUAACUCUGCACUUGCUCUUGCAAUGACAGUUGCAUCCAAUUUACUUGGUAUUAUAAUUGUACCUCUUUCUCUUGCAAAAUACAUUGGCACUGGUGUUGGGGUUUCCUUGCCUACUGAGCAAUUAUUCAAAAGUCUGGUCACCAGCCUUCUAAUCCCUCUUAUUAUAGGGAAGGUUGCUCGAGAAACCUCAAAAGGUAUUGCUGAUUUUGUUGAUGGAAAUCGACAAGGCUUUUCAGUUGCAAGUGCUGUUCUCCUCAGCCUAGUCCCAUGGAUUCAAGUAAGUAGAUCAAGAUCACUGAUCUUAUCUGUUCAAGUAAAAUCCUUUGCUGUUGCCGUUACUAUUGGAGUGCUUCUUCAUCUUGCUCUGCUGGCUUUCAAUGCUGCAAUGUUGGAGAUCUUGUCACGUCUUGAACAGAAAGGGGAGUCAGUCUUUGCAAAGAAAGAGUAUGCACGAGCUGUCAUUUUGGUGGCUAGUCAGGUGCAUCUGUACCCACCAGCCACAACUUAGCUUCGCCACUGAUAUAGAUCCUACUUAGGCAUUGCAUAGCUACUGCUUUACUUUAUUUUGAUUGCAUGACUAGGUAAUAGGUUUCAAAUAAGACAGGGGCUCAAACAUCAUGCAAUCAACUAAUCAAGCAAUCAACAUAAAGUAAAUCCGAAAAUGAUAAUUUAAAUAAAUGACAGUGGUAACUAUGAGCAAUAAAACAAUAGCAACAAGAACAAGUACAAGAUCUAAGUAACUCUGAAUAGAGCACCAAUAGAUAGAUUAUAUUUCUAGAAAUACAUUGGUACCAGUUUUGUUAAUUUUCAAUUUAAAAUGGAUUAUUUAUGAAUUUUUAGAGAUUGAACCAUAUUUUUAUUAUUUUAGGACAAUGCAUAUAUAGGGGUAAAACCACCUUGAAACAUGGUUGAGGGCCAAAGUUGUCCCACCUUUAAUACUUCAAUGGCCAACAAUAUCUGUUUGAAUCCAAUUUGUUAUUGAAAUUGUUCCAAAACACUAGUAGGUAAAGAUGAAGUUGCUAUUUGGCUUUCAUGGCAUGAAAAUAUUUUAGCUGGCUUUCUUCUUAUUCCUGUAGAAAACGUUGCCAGUGUUGGUUGCUGUGGUUGAGCAGCUUGGAGGAGCGUUCGGGGAGUCUGGAUUUCUGGUCAUCCCUUGUGUUGCUGCACACAUUAACCAGAUCAUUAUUGAUUCUAUCAUAGUAAAUUGGUGGCGCCAGAAGGAUCAACAAUUUACUUCUGCAAAGUAACUGCAGAAUUCAAUUUCGGUGUGUAACACAGGGAAUCAGUCAGUCAGGAGCUCUUAAUGUUUAUCUCAUGACGCCAAAGCAAAAUGAGAUAUACAUGUUCAGUUGUUUGGAACGAAAGCAGUCAUAUCGAGAUUAUUUUACACAGAAUUGCUUUCGUGCCUGAAGAAACGAUAUUAUGUCUUUCCUCCACAAUCUUCAGAUUUCUUCCUCUCAAGGUUUUUGGAUAGUUGAAUAAAAAAAUGAAAAAUGUAAUUGUACUUGUCAUGCAGGAAGUUCAGUAAAAGGAAGAAUUGCUGACUGCAAAGCUGAAUUUGUGAAGAUCAUUAUACGCUUUAAUUUCAUAGUAUCCUUCGGACUGAUCUUACUUCA
Sorghum bicolor (sorghum) is the source of this 2306-nucleotide RNA transcript. It is a transcript of the gene named probable sodium/metabolite cotransporter BASS4, chloroplastic, with no coding region annotated. The record is from RefSeq and is a predicted model, not a curated record. The transcript is spliced from 14 exons. Lineage: Eukaryota; Viridiplantae; Streptophyta; Magnoliopsida; Poales; Poaceae.